GAGGAUAUAGCUCAGUGGUAGAGUGCCUACCUAGCAUGCAUGAGGUCCUGGACUCAAUCUCCAGUACCUUCA
This 72-nucleotide transfer RNA is filed under the name Camelus bactrianus (Bactrian camel). It matches the Rfam family "tRNA". Rfam says of the family: Transfer RNA (tRNA) molecules are approximately 80 nucleotides in length. Their secondary structure includes four short double-helical elements and three loops (D, anti-codon, and T loops). Lineage: Eukaryota; Metazoa; Chordata; Mammalia; Artiodactyla; Camelidae. RNAcentral also lists the same sequence under 2 other names. The record is from Rfam by way of RNAcentral.